This 430-nucleotide ribosomal RNA is filed under the name uncultured bacterium. RNAcentral describes it as "partial 16S ribosomal RNA". It matches the Rfam family "Bacterial small subunit ribosomal RNA", at positions 354 to 796 of the family's 1533-position model. The record is from RNAcentral.
GUGGGGAAUAUUGCACAAUGGGCGCAAGCCUGAUGCAGCAACGCCGCGUGAGGGAUGACGGCCUUCGGGUUGUAAACCUCUUUUAGUAGGGAAGAAGCGUAAGUGACGGUACCUGCAGAAAAAGCACCGGCUAACUACGUGCCAGCAGCCGCGGUAAUACGUAGGGUGCAAGCGUUGUCCGGAAUUAUUGGGCGUAAAGAGCUCGUAGGCGGCUUGUCGCGUCUGCCGUGGAAACCCAGGGCUCAACUCUGGGCGUGCGGUGGGUACGGGCAGGCUAGAGUGCGGUAGGGGAGAUUGGAAUUCCUGGUGUAGCGGUGGAAUGCGCAGAUAUCAGGAGGAACACCGAUGGCGAAGGCAGAUCUCUGGGCCGUAACUGACGCUGAGGAGCGAAAGCAUGGGGAGCGAACAGGAUUAGAAACCCCGGUAGUCC